GAUGAAGAACGCAGCGAAAUGCGAUACGUAAUGUGAAUUGCAAAUUCAGUGAAUCAUCGAAUCUUUGAACGCACAUUGCGCCCGCCAGCAUUCUGGCGGGCAUGCCUGUUCGAGCGUCAUUUCAACCCUCGAGCCCCCCCGGGGGCCUCGGUGUUGGGGGACGGCACACCAGCCGCCCCCGAAAUGCAGUGGCGACCCCGCCGCAGCCUCCCCUGCGUAGUAGCACACACCUCGCACCGGAGCGCGGAGGCGGUCACGCCGUAAAACGCCCAACUUUCUUAGAGUUGACCUCGGAUCAGGUAGGAAUACCCGCUGAACUUAAGCAUAUCAAUAAGCGGAGGA
This 342-nucleotide unclassified non-coding RNA is filed under the name soil metagenome. Its description in RNAcentral is "partial contains 5.8S ribosomal RNA, internal transcribed spacer 2, and large subunit ribosomal RNA". The stretch from base 1 to 119 matches the Rfam family "5.8S ribosomal RNA", at positions 35 to 154 of the family's 154-position model. The record is from RNAcentral.